GCAUCUUUAGCUCAGCUGGUAGAGCAACUGACUCUUAAUCAGUGGGUCCAGGGUUCGAGUCCCUGAAGAUGCA
This 73-nucleotide transfer RNA is filed under the name Proteiniborus sp. DW1. It matches the Rfam family "tRNA". From Rfam's summary of the family: Transfer RNA (tRNA) molecules are approximately 80 nucleotides in length. Their secondary structure includes four short double-helical elements and three loops (D, anti-codon, and T loops). Lineage: Bacteria; Bacillati; Bacillota; Clostridia; Eubacteriales. The record is from Rfam by way of RNAcentral.